This 475-nucleotide ribosomal RNA is filed under the name Ralstonia sp. oral taxon B67. RNAcentral's name for it is "bacterial SSU rRNA". It matches the Rfam family "Bacterial small subunit ribosomal RNA", at positions 30 to 489 of the family's 1533-position model. The record is from RNAcentral. Lineage: Bacteria; Pseudomonadati; Pseudomonadota; Betaproteobacteria; Burkholderiales; Burkholderiaceae.
AUUGAACGCUGGCGGCAUGCCUUACACAUGCAAGUCGAACGGCAGCAUGAUCUAGCUUGCUAGAUUGAUGGCGAGUGGCGAACGGGUGAGUGAUACAUCGGAACGUGCCCUGUAGUGGGGGAUAACUAGUCGAAAGAUUAGCUAAUACCGCAUACGACCUGAGGGUGAAAGUGGGGGACCGCAAGGCCUCAUGCUAUAGGAGCGGCCGAUGUCUGAUUAGCUAGUUGGUGGGGUAAAGGCCCACCAAGGCGACGAUCAGUAGCUGGUCUGAGAGGACGAUCAGCCACACUGGGACUGAGACACGGCCCAGACUCCUACGGGAGGCAGCAGUGGGGAAUUUUGGACAAUGGGCGAAAGCCUGAUCCAGCAAUGCCGCGUGUGUGAAGAAGGCCUUCGGGUUGUAAAGCACUUUUGUCCGGAAAGAAAUGGCUCUGGUUAAUACCCUGGGGUCGAUGACGGUAACCCGGAAAGAAUA